UUUUAUAUAAAGAUAAGAUAUUGUUUGUUUAUUUCAUUUGAGAUUAUACAGCGUGGCGCUAAAAUGGUGACAUUAAAUUAACACGUUUUCACGUACGUUAUCACAUUUAACGUUGUUAUUUGCUGUUUUAUUUGGCGGGACACGGAAGAUAACAUGACAUCAAAGAAAUUAGAAUGAAUAAGCAAUACUUUAAAGGAAAGAGACAACGCGCGCCCUCACCACCGCGUCGCAGUGAUAUACAAUUUUAUGGCGCGGCCUCAUGGAGUCGCUCGUCGCUCGUUUCCAGCGUCAAAUGCGAUCACAUGACCCCAUUUUAAAUUUCCCGCGAUCCCGCGAGCGACGAGCGAUUCAUGUGGCUACGCCUUUAUUUAGCAUUCUCAGUGCCACAGAAUAUAUUAUAAUAUACCCUCAAGGGCAGAAUAACGACUCCAUACAAAUUUUACGAAAGAACAAUGUACCCCCGAUAAAUACGCAUUCCUAACGACAGUGUCGUUUGUCAUUACUGUUGGUUAUUAUACAGUCAAGUAAUACAACAAGUAGCUAUGCGCCAACUGAAUCAAUAGCGCAUCGAAAUAUUUGUGUUGUUUGCGGUCAUUCGUUGUACCGUGUAUGGUCUCACGCCUUAAAUAGCAGUUCAGAAAAAGAUUCUAUCAGACGCGUGAUAGAGCAACAGAUUGCACCGCUACAGCUAAGAUCAACAAGUAAGAUCUGUCACCCAUAUUGGCAAAGCAGUUACCGUUCUGUUCAACUAAAUUUGACCACACCAUCAUCAUCAUGUAUGCAUGAACCCUCAACGUCUGAUGUAUCAACACCAUUGGAUGUACACAGUGAGUCCUUUGUUGAAGAAAUUCAGCCAUUAUUGCAGUUGGCAACACCUAGGACAUCAUCAACAUUGCCAGCCCCACACGUCUCUAUGAUUGUCAUUGAAUUAUUGGAAUUUGGCCGGGCAUCACACACUCAGGCUCGCUGCUUUUUCCCUAGCUGCCGUGAACUUGAAAGAUUGAGUGUUCUGCCAAUCAGAUGAAGAUUGUUUUCGGAGUAUAAAUAUUGUGUGCCAGAAAACUGACGAAUUUGUUCUCACCAUUUAAAAGGAGCAACGACUGGCCAGAAUUGUUGGAAUCUGAUCUUAUCCACACAUUUACAUCACAACAUAUUUAUGACUUCACAGAAUUGAGACAUCAGCCCUCUAUUGACUUUGAAGAUGUCCAAAAUAUGGAUGACUACCUCGUGAAUCGGUUUGAUAUGAGCAAGGAACACUUCAAAAAGAUAUUAGAAAAGAUUCCACGGCUAGCGAGUAUGCACAGAUACUUAAUGAAAUUAAGAAAUGAUGACUCUGGAGAUCAUAUAAGUCCCUUAUUUCAAAUCCCUAGAACAGCAUUAGAAGGUCUAAUGGCAAGAGCAAGAGAACUUUUACACCAACAUUUUGUUCCGAGGCAUUUAUGUGAAAUCUUUUAAUACCUAAUGGAGUUUCUUGCCGGUUCUACUCCAUAAGAAUGACCAGACUCAUUAUUGUUAAGUUUUAAAAGAGCCUUUAAAUUGGUCUUUUUGAAAUAAAAACUUAUUUGGUGGCGCUGAAAAUGAAUGACAGUGGUAAAAAGAAAUUAAACUAUUCGAAUACUGUA
Trichoplusia ni (cabbage looper) is the source of this 1622-nucleotide long non-coding RNA. RefSeq lists it as uncharacterized. The transcript has 3 exons. The record is from RefSeq and is a predicted model, not a curated record. NCBI's taxonomy places the organism in Eukaryota, Metazoa, Arthropoda, Insecta, Lepidoptera, Noctuidae.